Molecule: ribosomal RNA, 482 nt
Filed under: uncultured bacterium
Lineage: Bacteria
Description: partial 16S ribosomal RNA
Rfam family: Bacterial small subunit ribosomal RNA
Source: RNAcentral
AUUGAACGCUGGCGGCAUGCUUUACACAUGCAAGUCGAACGGUAACAGGCCGCAAGGUGCUGACGAGUGGCGAACGGGCGAGUAAUGCAUCGGAACGUGCCCAGUCGCGGGGGAUAACUACUCGAAAGAGUAGCUAAUACCGCAUACGAUCUAUGGAUGAAAGCGGGGGACCGUAAGGCCUCGCGCGAUUGGAGCGGCCGAUGUCAGAUUACGUAGUUGGUGGGGUAAAGGUUCACCAAGCCAACGAUCUGUAGCUGGUCUGAGAGGACGACCAGCCACACUGGGAGUGAGGCACGGCCCAGACUCCGACGGGAGGCAGCAGUGGGGAAUUUUGGGCAAUGGGCGAGAGCCUGAUCCAGCACUGCCGCGUGCAGGAAGAAGGCCUUCGGCUUGUAAACUGCUUUUGUACGGAGCGAGACGACUCUGGUUAAUACCCGGGGAUAAUGACGGUACCGUAAGAAUAAGCACCGGCUAACUACGUG